UACAGAGGGUGCGAGCGUUAAUCGGAAUUACUGGGCGUAAAGGGUGCGUAGGUGGUUAGAUAAGUUGGGCGUGAAAUCCCCGGGCUCAACCUGGGAACUGCGUUCAAAACUAUUUGGCUAGAGUAUGGUAGAGGUAAGUGGAAUUUCCAGUGUAGCGGUGAAAUGCGUAGAUAUUGGAAGGAACAUCAGUGGCGAAGGCGACUUACUGGACUGAUACUGACACUGAGGCACGAAAGCGUGGGGAGCAAACAGG
Molecule: ribosomal RNA, 253 nt
Filed under: uncultured bacterium
Lineage: Bacteria
Description: partial 16S ribosomal RNA
Rfam family: Bacterial small subunit ribosomal RNA
Source: RNAcentral